AAGACAGUUUAAAACAACUAAAUAUGUGUACUGUAGCCUGCCUGAACGAUUCACACCUGCCAAGUGACACCCACACAUUUCAUUGUGCCUGUCAGUCUGCCCAAGCCCAGAAAGAAAAGGUGUGAUUUUAUUUUACCAUUACUAUUAUUAUUAUUAUUAUUUGCUGAUCCUCUUUACUCCCUUCUGUAUGUUUUUGGAGGUCACCUCCCUUCUCCCACCGUCCUGAGAUGGUCCCCAUGCUGAGAUAUAGUGUUAUCCAGCCAGGUAGAGUGAUUUGGGGAAAUGCCUAGAGAUCCAUAAUCCCAAGGCUUCUCAGGAUACAAUAGAUGGGAGCUUUAGCUUCAGGAAGUGGUGUGCAGAGUCUAUGUGGUUUCUUGCAGCCCCGAGCUUCUGACACCAGAACUCCAGGGUGGUUACUUCAUUUCUCUCCUAGCCUUGUGAUCCCUGCCUGGCCUCAUGUCCUGCAGCACUGAUAUCUGUCAGCACAGCACUGUGUCUGCAAGUGUGAAGGACCCAUCUUUGCCAACAGAGAGAGAAAAACUGCACGGUCAUCUUCUUUGCUUGACCUGAGGCUCCCCAGGGAGGCGGUGCGGUCGCCUUCCCCGGAGGUGUUCAAGUCAUUUGUAGAUGUGGCACCGAGUGACGUGGUUUGUGAGAUGGCAGCCCGUCCGACCUGCAGGACCCAGCCCCAGUCCCUGCAGGAGCUGAGAUGCAGCAUCCUCCUGCCAGAGUGCAUCGGUGCAUGGCCUGUCCGCGGUGGAGAUUCCCCAGAUCUUAGGCAAUUCUCAUCCUCCUGUGGUCUGUGCUAUGCAGCCAGUCUGACUCAGAGACUGAAAAAUCCACAAGACGUUUCUGAAUGCUUUUGAAUUAAAAGAUGUG
This 879-nucleotide long non-coding RNA is filed under the name Gallus gallus (chicken). RNAcentral describes it as "lncRNA (ENSGALG00010025821.1)". Lineage: Eukaryota; Metazoa; Chordata; Aves; Galliformes; Phasianidae. The record is from RNAcentral.